AACGAACGCUGGCGGCGUGCUUAACACAUGCAAGUCGAACGCGAAAGGGACUUCGGUCCUGAGUAAAGUGGCGCACGGGUGAGUAACGCGUAGAUAACCUGUCUUCAUGUCUGGAAUAAUACGCCGAAAGGGGUACUAAUACCGGAUAUUCUUGCUUUUCAUAAGUUAUGCAAGCAAAGGUGGCCUCUGCAUAUGCUACUGCAUGAAGAGGGGUCUGCGUACCAUUAGCUAGUAGGUGGGGUAAUGGCCUACCUAGGCGACGAUGGUUAGCGGGUCUGAGAGGAUGAUCCGCCACACUGGCACUGGAACACGGGCCAGACUCCUACGGGAGGCAGCAGUGAGGAAUAUUGCGCAAUGGGGGAAACCCUGACGCAGCGACGCCGCGUGAGUGAGGAAGGCCUUCGGGUCGUAAAGCUCUGUCAAGAGGAAAGAAGUGUACAAUGGCUAAUACCUGUUGUAUUUGACGGUACCUCUAAAGGAAGCACCGGCUAACUCCGUGCCAGCCGCAGC
This 510-nucleotide ribosomal RNA is filed under the name uncultured bacterium. RNAcentral describes it as "bacterial SSU rRNA". It matches the Rfam family "Bacterial small subunit ribosomal RNA", at positions 29 to 518 of the family's 1533-position model. The record is from RNAcentral.